RNAcentral lists this transfer RNA (77 nucleotides) under Bdellovibrionales bacterium. RNAcentral describes it as "tRNA-Arg". It matches the Rfam family "tRNA". From Rfam's summary of the family: Transfer RNA (tRNA) molecules are approximately 80 nucleotides in length. Their secondary structure includes four short double-helical elements and three loops (D, anti-codon, and T loops). The record is from RNAcentral. Lineage: Bacteria; Pseudomonadati; Bdellovibrionota; Bdellovibrionia; Bdellovibrionales.
GGCCCCGUAGCUCAGUUGGAUAGAGCGAGUGUUUCCUAAACGCUAGGUCGCAUGUUCAAUCCAUGCCGGGGUCACCA